Molecule: long non-coding RNA, 2509 nt
Filed under: Homo sapiens (human)
Lineage: Eukaryota; Metazoa; Chordata; Mammalia; Primates; Hominidae
Description: BHLHE22 antisense RNA 1, transcript variant 2 (BHLHE22-AS1)
Source: RNAcentral
UGUUAAACAGGGCGCACUUCUCCGGGCAGGAGGCAGCCGGGGGCAGUCCGGCGCUGAACGGGUAGCCGGCUGCCUGCUCGUAGGCGCCGAGCGCCGGGUGCAGGGCAGCAGCUGCUGCCGCUGCAGCCGCCGAGCUGGGCAGGGAGGCAGCCGAGAUGGCCUGGCCCUGGUUGAGAACAGUCUAAAAAGUAAAAACAAAGUUUGGCAAAAAUGACAACUUUGCUUGAGAACAGCUCUGGAAAAGCGAAUCCACUGAGAGCCGUGGGAAUUCUCCGCCAGCUGUGCUUCCCCAACCGAGGAAGAAUCCAACCCGGAAUAUCGUUUCUGGACCCCACCGCGGAGACCCCAGCUGGACCCUCUCCUGAAAACUGCCCGGGGAGGGGGGUGCGGUCUCAGCGCCCUCCACUGCGGGGUCCAAGGCGCAGUAGCGGGGCGCGACCCCAGCGCUCCAAGCCCAGCAUUCUUGGCAGCUCUCCAGGCCCCAGUCAGAGGCACAUUGACCUUGAAGUUGCACUUGACUCGCCCACUCGGGGCUGCCUGGUGGCGCCUGGGUCAGCUUGAAACCCACGCAGCUGAGGGAGCUAGGUGUGGGGUUCACCAUACUGCGCCCCCGCCGGAUUUGGGAGCGCGGGAUCUACUCGGAGGCAGAGAGAUUAGCCCCAGAGGUCAAGCCUUUCGGCGUCGUUUUGUCAUCUGUAUUUUCUCGUCCCCUUCGCCGCCGAGUCCUACAAAGCUCACUUCAGAGAGACUGGGUCCACAUGUGUGGGCUCAUGAGGAGGAGGACAGCGAGGGUGACGACGCUGGGGGACUAGCGCGAGCUGGCGCAUUCCUGGCAGUGAGCCAAGGGCCCCCCGUCUUGCUAGUCUUUCCAAGUUGCUUGGCAAUUCCAAAAAUUUCGACUGUGGGAAAGUUGAAACUUGUUCGUAUAGCGUUCUUUCGAAAAGAUUUUCCUUGUCUGUAUCUAUUUUACAGAAAACAUACUGGUCCUCACUACUGUUUGGGGACGAGUUAGCCUAAAUUUGAACAGACCUUGAAGACAAACCCUGAGCCCCGGGAGGCAGCCUUCUCAGCGCGAGGUGCACACACAAGUCCCCGAGCCCACCGCGAGGGUCUCACCUGGCUCCUGCGUGGUCUUUCCCCACUUUGGCGACUUUGAAGGCCAGGGGGACCGUACAGUGAGCGAAUAACUUAGCGCCUGCAUUAUCACUGCUGAAACCUCAGAGAACAAUGUAGGACAUGCGGGUGCAGGUAGAGCAAAACUAGUGAAAAGAGUUUAUGAGGAAUUCAUACCGCCUCGCCUACUUGGGACAACUCCUUCAUUCAGUUGUCCUCCCUAGGGGGCUGUUAUGCUUAUUUGUGUCAGACCCUUCUUUCCCCUGGAAUCUUAUCAUCACAGAAUAUUAAACAUUUGAAAAAAUUUUAAAGAUUAAACUUGUUCGAGGAAAAAAUGGUAAACACUGUUAGGGAUUGCCUGGCGUGCACAAAUUAAGGAAAGAAAGAAACUGAAAAUUUCAGCGCGGCUUUGGGAAUUUUUAGCUUUGCGAUUUAAAACCCACAGCGCCAUCUCCUGGUAAUGAGGAGAAUAUAGCGAUGGAUGACAAUACUGAAAUGCUGACUAUGAAAUACUCAAAUAUGAGAAACGCCUCAAAAAUUAUUUCAGUGAUAGGUUGAUUAUGAUUACAAAAUAUGAUCUGACAUGGACAUUUAUUAUCAUUAAAAGUUAUCAGACACAAUCCUGGAAGCUAAUUAUUUGUAAAUAGAAGUUUGUAUAUUUAUACAUACAUGUAUUUUAUAGAUUCAGACGCUUAUGCUGUGAAUUUACAAGAUAUGAUUCUAUAAUUUAUCAUAAAUACAUAAUUUUACAAAACAGUUCCCUGUUUUACUUUUUGUGAAUGAUUUUACCAUAUAUGGUAGAAAAAGAAUAAUAGGAUGUGGUGAUCUAUGGAGACAUAAAAUCUUCUAGAUCCUCAUUGUAUUUUACUAGUCAACAUUAAUAAAUACUUUAGCCCCAUUGUCUCAAUAACUUCUCACUUUAUCUAUGUCUUCUCAUCAUGCAAUCUUACAGAAUGUCUUACUGUCUUAAUGUUAAGACAUCAUGACAAAAAUGUGUUAACAUUAUUCAGACAUUCUGAUCCUGAAAUAUCAUCUGAAGUUAAAUUAUUUUCCAAAAGUUUAAUGCACAUAAUAGAAUCAUAAAUACUUAAUACUUUUCUAUUAAAAUGUUUCUGAAGUAUUCUUUCAAGCUUUUCUCCCUUUUAUAAAUAAGAUUGAAACACACUAAAAUUUAGAGAUGAUAUCCCUAUUAAAAACAUUUCUCCUCUAUGAUUGUAUACACAGGCCAGCUGCUUGAAAUAAAAAUAAAAGUAGAUAUGCUUUUUGUAGUGUACAAAAUAUUAUGAAUAUCCUUCAAAAUUGUAGAUCAAACAGACAAAUGUAAACUUCAGUUGAAAGAUUCAUUUUAUUUGAUUAAUUAAAGUGAAGAUCUAUUAAGCCAAAAAAAAAAAAAAAA